GACGAACGCUGGCGGCGUGCCUAAUACAUGCAAGUCGAGCGGACUGAAUGGGAGCUUGCUCUUGUUCGGUCAGCGGCGGACGGGUGAGUAACACGUGGGCAACCUGCCCGCAAGACCGGGAUAACUCCGGGAAACCGGAGCUAAUACCGGAUAACACCGAAGACCGCAUGGUCUUUGGGUGAAAGGCGGCGCAAGCUGCCACUUGCGGAUGGGCCCGCGGCGCGUUAGAUAGGUGGAGAGGUAACGGCACACCAAGGGGAAGAUGCGUAGCCGGCCUGAAACGGAGCACGGCCACCCUGGGACUGAGACCCGGCCCAGACGCCUACGGGGGGCCGCCGUAGGGCAUCUUCCGCUAUGGGCGGAAGCCCGACGGAGCGGCGCCGGCUGGGCGAAGAAGGCCCUCGGGUCGUAAAGCUCUGUUGUGUGGGACGAAGGAGCGCCGUUUGAAGAAGGCGGCGCGGUGACGGUACCUCACGAGGAAGCCCCGGCUAACUACGUG
Molecule: ribosomal RNA, 499 nt
Filed under: uncultured bacterium
Lineage: Bacteria
Description: partial 16S ribosomal RNA
Rfam family: Bacterial small subunit ribosomal RNA
Source: RNAcentral